RNAcentral lists this ribosomal RNA (402 nucleotides) under uncultured bacterium. Its description in RNAcentral is "bacterial SSU rRNA". It matches the Rfam family "Bacterial small subunit ribosomal RNA", at positions 355 to 774 of the family's 1533-position model. The record is from RNAcentral.
UGGGGAAUAUUGGACAAUGGGCGCAAGCCUGAUCCAGCCAUGCCGCGUGAGUGAUGAAGGCCUUAGGGUUGUAAAGCUCUUUUAGCGGGGAAGAUAAUGACGGUACCCGCAGAAAAAGCCCCGGCUAACUUCGUGCCAGCAGCCGCGGUAAUACGAAGGGGGCUAGCGUUGCUCGGAAUUACUGGGCGUAAAGCGCACGUAGGCGGACUCUUAAGUCGGUGGUGAAAUCCUGGAGUUCAACUCCAGAACUGCCUUCGAUACUGGGAGUCUUGAGUUCGGGAGAGGUGAGUGGAACUGCGAGUGUAGAGGUGAAAUUCGUAGAUAUUCGCAAGAACACCAGUGGCGAAGGCGGCUCACUGGCCCGAUACUGACGCUGAGGUGCGAAAGCGUGGGGAGCAAACA